This 1351-nucleotide ribosomal RNA is filed under the name uncultured Bacteroidales bacterium. Its description in RNAcentral is "bacterial SSU rRNA". It matches the Rfam family "Bacterial small subunit ribosomal RNA", at positions 28 to 1379 of the family's 1533-position model. Lineage: Bacteria; Pseudomonadati; Bacteroidota; Bacteroidia; Bacteroidales. The record is from RNAcentral.
GAUGAACGCUAGCGACAGGCCUAACACAUGCAAGCCGAGGGGCAUCACAAGGAGCAAUCUGAGGUGGCGACCGGCGCACGGGUGAGUAACACGUAUGCAAUCUACCUUUUACACGGGGAUAAUCCGGCGAAAGUCGGUCUAAUACCCGAUGGUAUAUAUAGUUCGCAUGGAUUAUAUAUUAAAGAACUUCGGUAAAAGAUGAGCAUGCGUAACAUUAGAUAGUUGGUGAGGUAACGGCUCACCAAGUCAACGAUGUUUAGGGGUUCUGAGAGGAAGGUCCCCCACACUGGUACUGAGACACGGACCAGACUCCUACGGGAGGCAGCAGUGAGGAAUAUUGGUCAAUGGAUGAGAGUCUGAACCAGCCAAGUCGCGUGAAGGAAGAAUGUCCUAUGGAUUGUAAACUUCUUUUGUAAGGGAAUAAAAGAUAUUACGUGUAAUAUAUUGUAUGUACUUUACGAAUAAGGAUCGGCUAACUCCGUGCCAGCAGCCGCGGUAAUACGGAGGAUCCGAGCGUUAUCCGGAUUUAUUGGGUUUAAAGGGUGCGUAGGCGGACUAAUAAGUCAGCGGUGAAAGUUUGCAGCUCAACUGUAAAAUUGCCGUUGAAACUGUUAGUCUUGAGUACAAAUGAGGUAAGCGGAAUGUGUAGUGUAGCGGUGAAAUGCUUAGAUAUUACACAGAACCCCAAUUGCGAAGGCAGCUUACUGGGAUGUAACUGACGCUGAUGCACGAAAGCGUGGGUAUCAAACAGGAUUAGAUACCCUGGUAGUCCACGCAGUAAACGAUGAAUACUAGUUGUUUGCGAUAUACAGUAAGUAACACAGCGAAAGCGUUAAGUAUUCCACCUGGGGAGUACGUUCGCAAGAAUGAAACUCAAAGGAAUUGACGGGGGCCCGCACAAGCGGAGGAACAUGUGGUUUAAUUCGAUGAUACGCGAGGAACCUUACCCGGGCUUGAAAUGCAGAGGAAUAUAGAUGAAAGUUUAUAGUCAGCAAUGACCUCUGUGUAGGUGCUGCAUGGUUGUCGUCAGCUCGUGCCGUGAGGUGUCGGCUUAAGUGCCAUAACGAGCGCAACCCUUGUUGCUAGUUACUAACAGGUAAAGCUGAGGACUCUAGCAAGACUGCCACCGUAAGGUGUGAGGAAGGUGGGGAUGACGUCAAAUCAGCACGGCCCUUACGUCCGGGGCGACACACGUGUUACAAUGGGGGGUACAGAAGGCCGCUACCUGGCGACAGGAUGCUAAUCUCCAAAACCUCUCUCAGUUCGGAUCGGAGUCUGCAACUCGACUCCGUGAAGCUGGAUUCGCUAGUAAUCGCGCAUCAGCCAUGGCGCGGUGAAUACGUUCCCGGGC